This 71-nucleotide transfer RNA is filed under the name archaeon. RNAcentral's name for it is "tRNA-Asn". It matches the Rfam family "tRNA". Rfam says of the family: Transfer RNA (tRNA) molecules are approximately 80 nucleotides in length. Their secondary structure includes four short double-helical elements and three loops (D, anti-codon, and T loops). The record is from RNAcentral.
AGGCGGGUAGUCUAAUGGUAGGAUAUGUGGCUGUUAACCACGCGACGAGAGUUCGAUUCUCUCCCCGCCAG